UGGGGAAUAUUGGGCAAUGGGCGCAAGCCUGACCCAGCGACGCCGCGUGGGUGAUGAAGGCCUUCGGGUCGUAAAGCCCUGUCGGGUGGAAAGAACGGGAGGGGGGCAAAUAGCCCAUCGACGUGACGGUACCACCGAAGGAAGCACCGGCCAAUUCCGUGCCAGCAGCCGCGGUAAGACGGAAGGUGCAAGCGUUGCUCGGAAUCACUGGGCGUAAAGGGUGCGUAGGCGGCCUGGUAAGUCUGGCGUGAAAGCCCAGGGCUCAGCCCUGGAAGUGCGCUAGAAACUGCGAGGCUGGAGUGCCGGAGGGGAGAGUGGAAUUCCUGGUGUAGCGGUGAAAUGCGUAGAUAUCAGGAGGAAUACCGGUGGCGAAAGCGACUCUCUGGACGGCAACUGACGCUGAGGCACGAAAGCGUGGGGAGCAAACAGGAUUAGAUACCCGCGUAGUCC
This 450-nucleotide ribosomal RNA is filed under the name uncultured bacterium. RNAcentral's name for it is "bacterial SSU rRNA". It matches the Rfam family "Bacterial small subunit ribosomal RNA", at positions 355 to 796 of the family's 1533-position model. The record is from RNAcentral.